RNAcentral lists this transfer RNA (77 nucleotides) under Achromobacter anxifer. RNAcentral describes it as "tRNA-Gln". It matches the Rfam family "tRNA". Rfam says of the family: Transfer RNA (tRNA) molecules are approximately 80 nucleotides in length. Their secondary structure includes four short double-helical elements and three loops (D, anti-codon, and T loops). Further hydrogen bonds mediate the characteristic L-shaped molecular structure. tRNAs have two regions of fundamental functional importance: the anti-codon, which is responsible for specific mRNA codon recognition, and the 3' end, to which the tRNAs corresponding amino acid is attached (by aminoacyl-tRNA synthetases). tRNAs cope with the degeneracy of the genetic code in two manners: having more than one tRNA (with a specific anti-codon) for a particular amino acid; and 'wobble' base-pairing, i.e. permitting non-standard base-pairing at the 3rd anti-codon position. Lineage: Bacteria; Pseudomonadati; Pseudomonadota; Betaproteobacteria; Burkholderiales; Alcaligenaceae. The record is from RNAcentral.
GGGUAUGAAGGCAAGUGGUCUAAGCCGCCGGGAUCUGACCCCGGAGAACGUCGGUUCGAAUCCGACUGCCCCCGCCA